Pan troglodytes (chimpanzee) is the source of this 148-nucleotide non-coding RNA. It matches the Rfam family "Metazoan signal recognition particle RNA". From Rfam's summary of the family: The signal recognition particle (SRP) is a universally conserved ribonucleoprotein. It is involved in the co-translational targeting of proteins to membranes. The eukaryotic SRP consists of a 300-nucleotide 7S RNA and six proteins: SRPs 72, 68, 54, 19, 14, and 9. The record is from Rfam. Lineage: Eukaryota; Metazoa; Chordata; Mammalia; Primates; Hominidae.
GCCAGGCAUGGUGGCACAUGCCUGUAGUCCCAGCUACUUGGGAGGCUGAGGUGGGAGGAUUGCUUGAGCCUGGGAGUUCAAGGCUGCAGUGAGCUAUGGUGGCGCCACAGCACUCCAGCCUUGGCAACAGAGCGAGACCUCAUAUCAA